AAAGGGAAAGUCAAAUGCGAAAUUACAAAAAGAAAAAGUUAAGGCAUUAUAUGUCUUAAUUACAAUCCGCCCCAUACCGAACGAAUUCUUUCCCUAAGUUUUCCCCAGUCCUCGUUCUGCCGAGAGGAAGUGAUGUUCAAUUCGGCCACAACAUCAUCAUCAACUUCCAACUUCUUGUACUGCUCGACCAAAGACUUAGUUCGCUCAAUUUCUUGGGAGGCGUUACGCUUUUUAGCAGCCAUUCUCGCCUUGCAGUCGUCCAUUUUGGCUUGAAGUUCCUUCAUCUGAGCAGCCAAACUAGCCAUCAAAGAGUCUUCAAUCAUGACUUCGGAAGAGAUUUCUUUCAACUCGUCCUCAGCUUUGUUGAUCUCCAGAAGCAAAGACUCUUUUUCAGAUACGGCGCGAAGAUAUUGAGUACUUUUGGCCUUCAGUUCAACAUUCUUGGCCAGCAAGGAGAGGAC
Molecule: long non-coding RNA, 461 nt
Filed under: Olea europaea subsp. europaea
Lineage: Eukaryota; Viridiplantae; Streptophyta; Magnoliopsida; Lamiales; Oleaceae
Source: RNAcentral